This 1526-nucleotide ribosomal RNA is filed under the name uncultured bacterium. RNAcentral's name for it is "bacterial SSU rRNA". It matches the Rfam family "Bacterial small subunit ribosomal RNA". The record is from RNAcentral.
AGAGUUUGAUCCUGGCUCAGGACGAACGCUGGCGGCGUGCCUAACACAUGCAAGUCGAACGGAGAAUUUCAAUAAGCUUGCUUGACGAAAUUCUUAGUGGCGGACGGGUGAGUAACGCGUGGGUAACCUACCCAUAAAGCCGGGACAACCCUUGGAAACGAGGGCUAAUACCGGAUAAUCUUUGAUCGUGGCAUCACGGAAUAAGGAAAGGUGGCCUCUGUGUAUGCUACCGAUUAUGGAUGGACCCGCGUCUGAUUAGCUAGUUGGUGGGGUAAAGGCCUACCAAGGCGACGAUCAGUAGCCGGCCUGAGAGGGUGAACGGCCACACUGGGACUGAGACACGGCCCAGACUCCUACGGGAGGCAGCAGUGGGGAAUCUUCCGCAAUGGACGAAAGUCUGACGGAGCAACGCCGCGUGUAUGAUGAAGGUCUUCGGAUUGUAAAGUACUGUCUUUGGGGAAGAACGGCGUACUUGAAAAUAUUGAGUGCGCAUGACGGUACCCAAGGAGGAAGCCCCGGCUAACUACGUGCCAGCAGCCGCGGUAAUACGUAGGGGGCAAGCGUUGUCCGGAAUUAUUGGGCGUAAAGGGCGCGUAGGCGGAUCGUUAAGUCCGGUGUGAAAGCCCAGGGCUCAACCCUGAGAGUGCUUCUGAAACUGGCUAUCUUGAGUGCAAGAGAGGGAAGUGGAAUUCCCGGUGUAGAGGUGAAAUUCGUAGAUAUUGGAAGGAAUACCAGUGGCGAAGGCGGCUUUCUGGACCGAUAUUGACACUGAGAUGCGAAAGCGUGGGGAGCAAACAGGAUUAGAUACCCUGGUAGUCCACGCCGUAAACGAUGAGUGCUAGGUGUCGGGGGUAUCGACCCCCUCGGUGCCACAGCUAACGCAAUAAGCACUCCGCCUGGGGAGUACGGUCGCAAGACUGAAACUCAAAGGAAUUCGCGGGCCCGCACAAGCGGUGGAGUAUGUGGUUUAAUUCGACGCAACGCGAAGAACCUUACCAAGGCUUGACAUCCCGUGACAGCUGUGGAAACACAGUCUUGCAAGUUUACUUGCACACGGAGACAGGUGGUGCAUGGUUGUCGUCAGCUCGUGUCGUGAGAUGUUGGGUUAAGUCCCGCAACGAGCGCAACCCCUACAGCCAGUUGCCAGCACGUAAAGGUGGGAACUCUGGCAGAACUGCCGUUGACAAAACGGAGGAAGGUGGGGAUGACGUCAAAUCAUCAUGCCCCUUAUGUCUUGGGCUACACACGUACUACAAUGGCCUGAACAGAGGGAAGCAAAACUGCGAAGUUAAGCGAACCCCUUAAAACAGGUCCCAGUUCGGAUUGUAGGCUGCAACUCGCCUACAUAAAGUCGGAAUCGCUAGUAAUCGCAGGUCAGCAUACUGCGGUGAAUAAGUUCCAGGGCCUUGUACAAACCGCCCGUCACACCAUGAAAGUCUGCAACGCCCGAAGCCAGUGACGUAACCCGUAAGGGAGCUAGCCGUCGAAGGUGGGGCCGAUGAUUGGGGUGAAGUCGUAACAAGGUA